This is a long non-coding RNA of Gallus gallus (chicken), 8540 nucleotides long. The record is from Ensembl. Lineage: Eukaryota; Metazoa; Chordata; Aves; Galliformes; Phasianidae.
GGAGAUACCUGGCAAGACAUGAAGCAGCUCUUCCGUAGUGCUUUGAAUUCAAAAUUCUACUGCAGUCCUGUCACUAGCUCAAAAUCAUGUUCAGGAAAACAUACAUUAUUGUCAGCCAUUCAAGAAACACUGAUGUAGUGAGCUGUGCAAUAGCACUGAAAAAACAUUGGGGUGCUCCAAAACCUGUGAAUUGUAUCUACUUGGAGAAGAUGAAACCACACUGAAGGAGCUGAGAGAAACUGGAUAAUGCAGAGGGAAUUUCCAAAGGACAUGCUCUCCAAACCUUAAUUCGGUACAAUGAACUGAAGGACAAAAUGGUAACACUGAAAGAAGCUCUGUAUCAUAGAAUGUAUUUCUGAGUCUAUUUGUAGGUAUGGCAAAGGUGAGUGAGUAAAUAUCCUCUAAAAAUGAGCUUUCUAUGAGAAGCUAUGAAAUGCCUUUGUGAACUGCAUCCCCUUGAUUAAUUGGCUCAUCAUUCUUCCUAGUUAAAGUAUGAAUGGAGUAGCUGUACCAUGUUUUCUAACUCCAGAGAUAUUCAAACUUCAGAUCUCUCUAAAAUAUUGGAAUUAGUGAGUUUUGCUAAUCAUGGUUCUGUGUAAAGCUGAUGGGAGGCUUCCUGCUGACAAGAAUGGUUGGAACUUCAAUUCUAGUUUUCAGCUAUGAUGAAAAGGCUGUUAUUGAUGUAUUAGGAUAAGCUGCAGAUAAGAAAUACCUUCAAGUAUUUGAUGUUGAUUUAUAACAGAAAUUCCUAUAUCCUGCUGAAGUUCAUUUAGCUUUUGCCUUGACCUUUCUAUGUAUUUAAUACAGUUACUGGCUUUAACAACCUACACGCAUGAAAUUACUGUUUGGAGACCUCAUUUUUCAGAGACUAUAUCAUAUCCAGUAGUACAAUAACAGAAAAUAGAAGAAUACUCUAAGGCCUUUAGAGAAAAAAAUCUUGCUUUACUAUUGACUUAAUUAAGAGACGUAUGGAACUUUAUGUUCCUAAAAGAAUGUGUUGGACUGCAAAUAGAAAUACAGAGUGGAGAAAUUCAGACAGUUAAUUUCCAUACUGCACUAUGAAAUUAGAAAUAUACUGAUCUGAAUAAGAACUGUAAAAAUGGAUAAUGACUUUUGACAGAGAUCAUAAAUUAUGGGCUUUUCAAGGUUAUUAAAACAAAUUCCAUCCACAUUGGUUGAGCUGCUUUUAAAAUACUUGUGUUAGCUAAUGGCUGUGCUCUGUUCUGAAAAAUAUGGUUUCCUUUCCCAAAUUACUCAAGUUAUUGAAAUAACUUAAUUCCAUACUCAAACUUGUAUAGAAACCCACACUUCUAUAAUGCGGUUGUUCUAAAUUUAUCGAUACAUUAAGUAUAGUGCUUAUAAGAGCAGGAUGAAAUGCUAAAGAUAAGACCUGUUUAUUCAGUGAUAUUGUAACACUAUCCAAAAUACAGUAAAACAGAGAUGUAAAAACAAGUGCUUAUAGUUGUUUUUCUCUGGAAUUAAUAAUGUACAUCUUUUUGAUUUUAUUUCUAGAUUUAAAAACAUCUUCAGGUAAGUAAUUCUGGAAGGAUUACAUAAAAAGUUUGAACCCUAAAAAUUUUACUGCAUCAGAAUCUUACGCUAAACAAUACCUUCCUCUGAAACCUAUUGGCUAAGUACUACUCAGAAUCAGAAUUGUCUCCAGUGACUGCAUAAAACAUUUUGCUUUUAUUUAUUAUUAUAUUUAUUAUUAUAUUUAUUAAUAUUUAUUUAUUAUAUAAAAAUUUGCAUGUUUAGCAUGACUAAAGUCUGUUCAUAGGAGAGAAAAACUCACAAUGUUUAAUUCCUUCUUCAGGAAAUUUACAGAUAUACUGAAACCCUGCUUAAAACUUCUACAAUAUUUUUGCUUUUUUUCCCUUCAAAAAUGAAGAAUUGAAGAAAUUUUUAUGUAGGUUUUAGAUGAGAUGAAGAAGUGUCUUUUUCUUAAUUUUAAGAGUCCACGCUUAUAGUAAUAAAGAACUCACUGCAAAAUGAGUUGCAAAAUGAGUUGCUAAAAAACAAAAACAAACAAACAAACAAAAGAAUAAAACUCAUAUUUUUAAGAGAAAAAAAUAAAAGAAUGAUUCAGUUGAAUAUCUGUGCAUACAAAGACAGUGUUCACAAACUUCAGUCUUUUUCCCAGAAAUAUAAAGCUGAAUACCAAAGCCCUAUACAAAAGCUGAUAUAACGUAAGCUUGCAACUAAACACAUAAAAAUAAGGGUGUACUUGUACUUCUAUUUUACAGGAAAACCAGGGAAUAACAGAGCAGACACUGAUUUCCUGGUAGUACACACAGUCUCACUGGCAAAGUAAUGAAAACAGCCCAAACAUCUAUUCAUUUCUUGUCCUUGGUUUUGGGCACAGAAACACAAGUUCUCCAGCAUGAUUGAAGUCUCAAGUUAAAAGUGGCAAAAGAUAGACGAAAUCAAGAAAAUGCAAUCUGUAUUUCAAGAGAAUGAAGACUCGCUUUUAAAGAAAAAUGCCACAACUAAGAAAAUAUUUUCAGCUGGGCCAGACUAGCUGGCAAAUCUUGUUGCCCUGAGCCAUCCAUAUCACUCCUGGCCCCAAAUCACUCCUGGCAGAGUGAUCAGCGAGAACUGCAAAAUCUGAGUCACCACCUGAACUCCCAUCCCAGAUGAUGUCCCAUACUUCAUCCUGGACAGUGCGCUGUGAAGUGAAGACAUAGAUGGGGACCCAGGUGUUUCUUCCGACUAAAAGCCUCUCUGCUGGAACUUCCUGACUCAUUUCCCUGAUUACAAGACAGCAGGUGUCAAAUACAUCAGAAAAAGAACAAAGGACAUUAUCUAUCCAUACUUAAUUAAAGGCAGAAAUGCACUCAAGCCUGGCUGUCUGAACCAGAAGGUCAUUAAGCAUGGUCAAGGAGUGCUUUGCAGCAAGAUUCUGAAAAAUGGAAAUCUUGAAGCCUUCCAAGAGUUGUUAACACUAAACAGUUCAGAGUUGAGACAGAGUUUUGGGAAGAUUUUCUGAUUCCUGCCUGACAUGGGUUCUCUACGAGCAAACAUUCAGCAAGUACAAAGAGCAAUUUUGCAUGUUGCUGAACAUGCAAAAAAUGACAGUUGUGACAUACGGUUACCUAAGGAGCCCACUCUUCUCUCCUAUGUCUCUACAGUUCUGGAUUGAUGGAUCUGUCCCCUCCUUGGGCACACAGUCUAAUAGGAAUCAGACAUUGUCACCAUUUAGUGUGUUCUGCAAAGGUAUGGAAUCAGUAAGAGCAUAUCUCACCUGCCCUGUGCAUCUGAGCAUGCUGAAUACAGUUACCUAAGAUUUCAGUGUUUGUGGCAGAAAAAUAUCUCUUUUGGAACCAUGCAUGUAGGCACAAGAUUCAGUGAAAUUGCACCAUGUGGAAGAAAGUGAACAGAGGGAUUAAAAAACAUAAUGUUACUUCUCCACCAAAGAGCAGCAGAUGGCAGGGACUAGCAGGUCAAAUUAGGUUUCCUGUUGGUGGAGAAAAAAAUCAAUGAUUCAGAGUCUUAGUAUAUUCUUAUUUCAGUUAUGUUCUCUGAUUCUCAAUGUGAGUUACUUACACGCAACUUGUCAUCAGUCUCUGCUUUCAAGAGUCUCAGUAAUCACAAUGAAGAAUCUCAGGACCAAGAAUGAGGUUAGAGACACUAAGCAUGACUACCUGAACAGCCUAAAUUGUUAUCAAAAUGAUUUUAUUUUAUCUCUACAUGUAAAAAUCUCAAAGCUUUCUUAAAAAAUUGACUUCUGUUGCAGAGUUUUGGCUUCGAAGGAAUAUUGGGUUGAGCUCCAGAUCAGAGUGCUGUCAUGCAUCUUUCUGCUUUAUGAAUGCAGUAGUUAGCUAAGUACUCAAUACCCUAGACAUAUGAAAGUCAGAGGCAGAAAUCAAACCCCUCUGGAAAAUUUUUUUCCUUCUACUCUUCAUGUCCUUUUGUUCAGCUAUUUAAGUGAAAAGCCUAUUACAUGUCAAACAAAAUAAUUACAUCCAAAUUAUUUUCCAGACUGGUAUUGUUUCUAAAUGUUUUUGUUUGUCUUCUCCACUCACUGUGGAAUUUUGCAGUUGUUGUCUUCACUUGUCUCUUCAAAGCUGAUCUCAUAAUGGAGAUUAAAAAUAAGAAAGAACAAUUUCCAAUUUCUCCAUGGACAAAGUGACCCUUUGAUGGGAGGAGUGUUGCAUGCUGCUGCUGAUGAAAGGAGGGUGCUGCAGAACGCAACCAUGUUGUGUGAGAGGGAGCCAACAUUUGGUGAUGAAAUUGAUGAUUGGCUGGAAGUAAUAGGUAUAAAAUCAAGGUAUAAAACUCAAGUGGUUAGGAGAAAGCUAAGAAUAUGAUUACGAGUUUGAGCAUUUGAAAAAUAGAUUGGAGUUAAUAGUGUAGAAUAGUUUCAUACACAUAAUAUGAAAUAAUGAAAAGCUUUCCUAGCAGUCACAAAUAGGGGAUAGACUUUGCUCUACAAAUGUGAAGCAUAGGGCUGAGGUAGUUUGUGAAAGCACCUACAUUCAGGUGUCUCCUUGUGUGUGAGAUGUCAAGGUUUCCAUUAGAGUUAAUAGAGAUCUACUCAAUACAGUCCAGGGAACCUCAAGGGCAAUUCUCAGCUGACCAGUCAGUUUUUGUGUUAGAGUGAGCUGACAGCAUGGACUAAAUCUCACUUAACUAAAAUGAAUCUUAUUCUGGAUAUCCAGUCCAAGCUGUCACCUGAGCUGUCUUUGCUGUCAUCAGGGAGCGAUCAGUCUUGCAGAAGGACUCUUACAUUUCUAAAAUAGGCUGUUGAUCCUUAUUUUAGGCUAUCAAUUCCUAUUUUAGGCUAUCUGUUUCAGAUCAAAGGCCUGGUCUUGUUGCUCACUCACAGUAUUCACAUUCUUGGGAUAUCUACAGGUUCUUUUCCGAUCUCCUGCCACUAUACAAGAAGGAAAUGGGCUGGGGCAUGGGCCUUCUGUUGCUACUUUGUCAUGUCUGCCAGAUCCAAGUAUUUCUAAUAGGACUAAAUAUCUAUGUGUAGACAACUGAACUAAGCAUGAAGGUCUAUUUAUAAACUAUUAAUUAUUGUGACUCUCAUCCUGAUUCCUCACUUAAUGAGCAUUGGAGUUACAUAGCUCUGAAGGCUGUAAUAAACAGACUGACUUUAUUGUAGCUCUCUGUGUAUCAACAAAGUAAAAAAGCCAUAUAACAACUAGAGAGAUCAUUCAUCCAGAAGAUGGUUUAUAAUGUGGUAUGGUAAUAGACGCAAACUGGCAUAAAUGAACAUGGUUUCUGAUCCCAGCUUUAUAGUAGAGUUGUGUAAAUGUAGUCAUUAGAGUAAAAGCAACAUUGCUAUUUGCGAAAGUGUUUGAAGAAAAGACUUGAUAUAGUUUUCAAAGAUUGCAGUAUAUUCACUAUGAAAAAGAACUUGCUUUGUUUUUCCUUUUUUUAAAAUUUUUUAUUUUUACUAGCUGAUGCUGUUAUAAAAAAUAGAUAGCUGCAGAAGUGUUAGAGGAAAAUGCUGUAGUGUGCUUAGACUGCAUUUUGUGCAGAUGGCAUGCCUGAGUAUAUAAAAAUGACCCCUUGGGAAUCUGUGUGCAUCUUUGUUUUAGAAUACAUCCUGGUUUUAUUAAUGAAACAAGUGAAAAGGUUUUGUUUCUGUGUGUGAGGAAAAGAUAUUACAAAAAAAAAAGGAAGCAGGGGAAGAACUUUCCUCUAUUUUAAUUAGAAAGUAAUUGCAUUGCACCAUUAAAACAAUGAGCUCUGUCAUGAAAUUCAAAGAACUUGGGAUCAGUAUUGGGCAUAGAUGUUGUACUGACAAUUGUAGGUUAUUUCUUUUAACAUCAGUUGAGUGGAGAGAAAAAGUGCUAUUUUAAUUGAAAGAACAAAUAUCACAACCUUAAUAUUGUUGAAGUAGCAAGUCCUGACACUGGCAAUGGGUUAUGUUUGUAAUGACAUUCUUCAGACAUAGGGGCAUUCAGAGCAGAAGCUUUUGUCAAAUAAACAAAAAACCACAACACUUACAUCACACAGAAAAUACAAAUUUCCUUUAUAAGCUAGUUAGCUUUAGGCUGAGGAAGGUUUAAGAACGUUAGUCCGUCUGCUAUUCCACAUUGGUAUUUUAUCAUAUUAUUGUGUCAUCAGCAUAACAAAUGUAUUUGGCAGAGAUAUGUUACUACUUUUCCUCACCAGAUAUCUCAGAAAAUAAAAAUAAAGGUAUAUGGGGAACUUCUACAUGACAGUUUCAAAUCAGUCUUUAGCUACUACAGGUCUAAAAAGAAGCCAGAUGACAGAGAGAGAUAAGCAAAUUAAAUUACAUACUAUUGGAUACUCAGUGUAUUACACAUUAGUGGAUAAUGACUGUGACUAACAGCUAUUUUGAAACCAUGAACUUACCGCAAACUCACUCCAUUUUUGUUUUGUUCUAUGAAUAGAUCAUAAAAUAUCUGAAAACACAGUGCACAAAAUCUAGAUUUAGAAAUGACUAUGCACUUUCUUAUAAUUCACAGGAGGUAACAUAAUUAAAAAUCAUCACUUCUGUUAAUGACAAAUAAAACAGGCUAUAUGUAAGUAUUUACUAUUAGCAGAAACUGAUUUUAGACAUCUUUUUUUCUUAAGAAUCGGAUGUUACAGAACAAGACCCAAUCUAAAGAGGAAAGGAGAAAUUUGGACUUUUUUUUAAGUUAAACAGUGAGUUAUAUGUCAUUCAAAGAUAACACUUGUAUGGUAAUUGAGGUAGGGAUUAUUAGACAACAAUCCAAGGAGAUGCACAAAAGUUGACACACCUAGCGUUAAUUGUAUGGCAUGUUUGUUUUCUGUAUUAAAAGAAGUCAAUGUGCACUCCUCCAGAAUGUAUUCAGAAAAAAAUAUUUUAAAAGACAAAGGGGAAUAGAAAUCUAACAUGCCUCAUUAUUUCAUAUUCUAUCUUUCUGUCUCUUUGUCCUAGUCUCUUCAAUCAGACCAUCACAACAUUUUCAUAACUUUGUCAUUAUUAGACACAAGAGGAAUAUCAAAGAUGAAAGAAAGGAUAGAAACAGGAUAACUGCAGAGGAAGCAUGUCAUCUGGCCGUGUCAGUAGUUGCUAAUUAACUUAUCCUGUAUCUUAUCACCAUACAGUAUGUGUCAUACAUGCAGCCCAGUGAUGAGCUGUUCAUCAGAUAUUCUCUUGAAAUCAACUAUGGCAUCUUAAGCCAUAGAAUCAACUAGCUUGAGAAGAAAACACUGCGAAUAAUUAGUUCCUUCCUUUAUUGCAAUUACUCCAAUGCAUGUAGAUAAAUGAAAAUUUUAUGUCAUCUCCUACUUAUCUUGCUUGUUCUCUCUGUUUCACUUAAUUUUGCCCAUCUUUACAAUGUAUCAGUAGGUUGAAUAUGGAGCUUUUGAACUGACUAGGCAUCGCUUUAUGGAGUUUCUUUUAAUGUUGAGAAUGUAUGUACUUUUUGUUUUGUCUGAAGAGAUUGAGGAAAUAGAUUUAAAAUGUAUUAGUUUAUAAAUUGUGAAUUUCUUAUGAAGAAAGUGAGAGAGUGUACUGUCAAUGGAAUUGAACAAUCAGUUUCUUACUGACACAACUGAAACAGCAUGAACUUCUUAAAAAUACAGAUCCACCAAAUCCUUUUUAUGAAGAUCCUACUAGAAAAAUAACGGGCUAUUAAAAUUACUCUGAACUGGAUAUCUGCCUUGAAUGGAUUACGUGAAUAAUAAUCUCUUAAAACAUGACUGUGUUAUUCUCCAUGUGAUUGUGCCUGAGAAGGGAGAAGGUACUGCUGGCUCCAUGUAAGUUUGUGUCUUUCCACCUAGCAUCUCAUUGCAUGUGAUUAGAACUGACCAAAACAUUCCUGGCCAUGUUUCUGUUGGGCAAUGCUGGUUCUAUAGAAUGAAUUCUGGUAAACCUUACCCCAAGCUAGGGACAUAUUCUGAGCCAACAUCAUAUGACUGAGAGGUUAGGAAUGAACUGCCAGCAGACAAAAAGUCUUAGUAUAAGCAACAUUUCUGCUUUUUUUCAUGCACAGACUUGUGACGUUCUGGCAUCCAAGCUUCUCAAGUCAGACUCAUUUCUCAUGGUUGAUCGAAGGUGGAAUUUGGGGAACUUGAGGAUUAUCUGAGGUAAAUGCUGUUUUGAGCUGAUUAUUCAGAUUGUAUUCUCUCCUAAUUGGGUUUUUGUUUGAUGGAGGAUGUCAGUCGGCUCCCACUGAAGUCAGGGGAACAACUCCCUUUGAAUUCAGCUGCCAUUGGAUCAGCUCCGGGUGCAGAGCACUGGCAGCUACCUCAGCUGUCAAAAAUUUCAGUUCCUGUCACAUAAAUGACAGGAGAUAAAGCAAGAUUUAAAGACUGCGAAAGAACUUAAAAUAUGUUUCAACAUUUGCUGCAUUUGGAAGCUGAAAUGCUGCCAACAAUUUGAUGUGUGUUUUCAUGUGCUGUACAUGCUUACAUUUUUUUUUUUUUCACAAUAGAAAAAUAAUCAACAGAUAGUGGCCUUAGACAGCUCUGACAAUUCUUUCCACUUUCACUUUAUGACCUGUGUGAAGAUCUGCCUUUGUACAUUCGGCAUUUUUUUCUUAUUUUAUUUUACCACAGUGUAAUUAUUCAGAUAUUGGACUUGGAACUGAGAG